This 2902-nucleotide ribosomal RNA is filed under the name Klebsiella pneumoniae. RNAcentral's name for it is "23S ribosomal RNA". It matches the Rfam family "Bacterial large subunit ribosomal RNA". Lineage: Bacteria; Pseudomonadati; Pseudomonadota; Gammaproteobacteria; Enterobacterales; Enterobacteriaceae. The record is from RNAcentral.
GGUUAAGCGACUAAGCGUACACGGUGGAUGCCCUGGCAGUCAGAGGCGAUGAAGGACGUGCUAAUCUGCGAAAAGCGUCGGUAAGGUGAUAUGAACCGUUACAGCCGGCGAUGUCCGAAUGGGGAAACCCAGUGCAAUUCGUUGCACUAUCGUUAACUGAAUACAUAGGUUAACGAAGCGAACCGGGGGAACUGAAACAUCUAAGUACCCCGAGGAAAAGAAAUCAACCGAGAUUCCCCCAGUAGCGGCGAGCGAACGGGGAGCAGCCCAGAGUCUGAAUCAGCUUGUGUGUUAGUGGAACGGUCUGGAAAGUCCGACGGUACAGGGUGAUAGUCCCGUACACCAAAAUGCACAGGCUGUGAACUCGAAGAGUAGGGCGGGACACGUGGUAUCCUGUCUGAAUAUGGGGGGACCAUCCUCCAAGGCUAAAUACUCCUGACUGACCGAUAGUGAACCAGUACCGUGAGGGAAAGGCGAAAAGAACCCCGGCGAGGGGAGUGAAAAAGAACCUGAAACCGUGUACGUACAAGCAGUGGGAGCACCUUCGGGUGUGACUGCGUACCUUUUGUAUAAUGGGUCAGCGACUUAUAUUCUGUAGCAAGGUUAACCGUAUAGGGGAGCCGCAGGGAAACCGAGUCUUAACUGGGCGUUAAGUUGCAGGGUAUAGACCCGAAACCCGGUGAUCUAGCCAUGGGCAGGUUGAAGGUUGGGUAACACUAACUGGAGGACCGAACCGACUAAUGUUGAAAAAUUAGCGGAUGACUUGUGGCUGGGGGUGAAAGGCCAAUCAAACCGGGAGAUAGCUGGUUCUCCCCGAAAGCUAUUUAGGUAGCGCCUCGUGAACUCAUCUUCGGGGGUAGAGCACUGUUUCGGCUAGGGGGUCAUCCCGACUUACCAACCCGAUGCAAACUACGAAUACCGAAGAAUGUUAUCACGGGAGACACACGGCGGGUGCUAACGUCCGUCGUGAAGAGGGAAACAACCCAGACCGCCAGCUAAGGUCCCAAAGUCAUGGUUAAGUGGGAAACGAUGUGGGAAGGCACAGACAGCCAGGAUGUUGGCUUAGAAGCAGCCAUCAUUUAAAGAAAGCGUAAUAGCUCACUGGUCGAGUCGGCCUGCGCGGAAGAUGUAACGGGGCUAAACCAUGCACCGAAGCUGCGGCAGCGACACUAUGUGUUGUUGGGUAGGGGAGCGUUCUGUAAGCCUGCGAAGGUGACCUGUGAGGGUUGCUGGAGGUAUCAGAAGUGCGAAUGCUGACAUAAGUAACGAUAAAGCGGGUGAAAAGCCCGCUCGCCGGAAGACCAAGGGUUCCUGUCCAACGUUAAUCGGGGCAGGGUGAGUCGACCCCUAAGGCGAGGCCGAAAGGCGUAGUCGAUGGGAAACAGGUUAAUAUUCCUGUACUUGGUGUUACUGCGAAGGGGGGACGGAGAAGGCUAUGUUAGCCGGGCGACGGUUGUCCCGGUUUAAGCAUGUAGGCUGGUUAUCCAGGCAAAUCCGGAUAAUCAAGGCUGAGGUGUGAUGACGAGGCACUACGGUGCUGAAGUAACAAAUGCCCUGCUUCCAGGAAAAGCCUCUAAGCAUCAGGUAACAUCAAAUCGUACCCCAAACCGACACAGGUGGUCAGGUAGAGAAUACCAAGGCGCUUGAGAGAACUCGGGUGAAGGAACUAGGCAAAAUGGUGCCGUAACUUCGGGAGAAGGCACGCUGGUGUGUAGGUGAAGUCCCUGCGGAUGGAGCUGAGACCAGUCGAAGAUACCAGCUGGCUGCAACUGUUUAUUAAAAACACAGCACUGUGCAAACACGAAAGUGGACGUAUACGGUGUGACGCCUGCCCGGUGCCGGAAGGUUAAUUGAUGGGGUUAUCCGUAAGGAGAAGCUCUUGAUCGAAGCCCCGGUAAACGGCGGCCGUAACUAUAACGGUCCUAAGGUAGCGAAAUUCCUUGUCGGGUAAGUUCCGACCUGCACGAAUGGCGUAAUGAUGGCCAGGCUGUCUCCACCCGAGACUCAGUGAAAUUGAACUCGCUGUGAAGAUGCAGUGUACCCGCGGCAAGACGGAAAGACCCCGUGAACCUUUACUAUAGCUUGACACUGAACAUUGAGCCUUGAUGUGUAGGAUAGGUGGGAGGCUUUGAAGCGUGGACGCCAGUCUGCGUGGAGCCAACCUUGAAAUACCACCCUUUAAUGUUUGAUGUUCUAACGUUGGCCCCUUACCGGGGUUGCGGACAGUGUCUGGUGGGUAGUUUGACUGGGGCGGUCUCCUCCCAAAGCGUAACGGAGGAGCACGAAGGUUAGCUAAUCCUGGUCGGACAUCAGGAGGUUAGUGCAAUGGCAUAAGCUAGCUUGACUGCGAGCGUGACGGCGCGAGCAGGUGCGAAAGCAGGUCAUAGUGAUCCGGUGGUUCUGAAUGGAAGGGCCAUCGCUCAACGGAUAAAAGGUACUCCGGGGAUAACAGGCUGAUACCGCCCAAGAGUUCAUAUCGACGGCGGUGUUUGGCACCUCGAUGUCGGCUCAUCACAUCCUGGGGCUGAAGUAGGUCCCAAGGGUAUGGCUGUUCGCCAUUUAAAGUGGUACGCGAGCUGGGUUUAGAACGUCGUGAGACAGUUCGGUCCCUAUCUGCCGUGGGCGCUGGAGAAUUGAGGGGGGCUGCUCCUAGUACGAGAGGACCGGAGUGGACGCAUCACUGGUGUUCGGGUUGUCAUGCCAAUGGCACUGCCCGGUAGCUAAAUGCGGAAGAGAUAAGUGCUGAAAGCAUCUAAGCACGAAACUUGCCCCGAGAUGAGUUCUCCCUGAGACUUUAAGUCUCCUGAAGGAACGUUGAAGACGACGACGUUGAUAGGCCGGGUGUGUAAGCGCAGCGAUGCGUUGAGCUAACCGGUACUAAUGAACCGUGAGGCUUAACCUU